GAUGAACGCUGGCGGCGUGCCUAAUACAUGCAAGUCGAGCGAACAGACGAGGAGCUUGCUCCUCUGACGUUAGCGGCGGACGGGUGAGUAACACGUGGAUAACCUACCUAUAAGACUGGGAUAACUUCGGGAAACCGGAGCUAAUACCGGAUAAUAUAUUGAACCGCAUGGUUCAAUAGUGAAAGACGGUUUUGCUGUCACUUAUAGAUGGAUCCGCGCUGCAUUAGCUAGUUGGUAAGGUAACGGCUUACCAAGGCGACGAUGCGUAGCCGACCUGAGAGGAUGAUCAGCCACACUGGAACUGAGACACGGUCCAGACUCCUACGGGAGGCAGCAGUAGGGAAUAUUCCGCAAUGGGCGAAAGCCUGACGGAGCAACGCCGCGUGAGUGAUGAAGGUCUUCGGAUCGUAAAACUCUGUUAUUAGGGAAGAACAAAUGUGUAAGUAACUAUGCACGUCUUGACGGUACCUAAUCAGAAAGCCACGGCUAACUACGUG
This 497-nucleotide ribosomal RNA is filed under the name uncultured bacterium. Its description in RNAcentral is "partial 16S ribosomal RNA". It matches the Rfam family "Bacterial small subunit ribosomal RNA", at positions 28 to 507 of the family's 1533-position model. The record is from RNAcentral.